GGUGCAUGGCAGACGGGUGAGUAACGCGUGGGGAAUCUACCUCUUUGUGGGGAAUAACGCUCCGAAAGGAGUGGUAAUACCGCAUGAGAUCCAUGGCUGGGAUGCUGUGGAUGAAACCUGGGGACCGCAAGGCCUGGGGCAAGGAGAGGAUCCUGCGUCUGAUUAGCUAGUUGGUGAGGUAAUGGCCCACCAAGGCGACGAUCAGUAGCCGGCCUGAGAGGGUGAUCGGCCACACUGGAACUGAGACACGGUCCAGACUUCUACGGGAGGCAGCAGUGGGGAAUUUUGCGCAAUGGGCGAAAGCCUGACGCAGCAACGCCGCGUGGGUGAUGAAGGUCUUCGGAUCGUAAAACCCUGUCGUCGGGGACGAAGGUGGGCGGGUUAAUAGCCUGUUUGCUUGACGGUACCCGGAGAGGAAGCCCCGGCUAACUCUGUGCCAGCAGCCGCGGUAAUACAGAGGGGGCAAGCGUUAUUCGGAAUUAUUGGGCGUAAAGGGCGCGUAGGCGGCUUUUUAAGUGAGAUGUGUAAUCCCUGAGCUCAACUUGGGAACUGCAUCUCAUACUGGGAGGCUAGAGUACUGGAGAGGGUGGUAGAAUUCCACGUGUAGCGGUGAAAUGCGUAGAGAUGUGGAGGAAUACCAGUGGCGAAGGCGGCCACCUGGACAGUAACUGACGCUGAGGCGCGAAAGUGUGGGUAGCAAACAGGAUUAGAUACCCUGGUAGU
This 723-nucleotide ribosomal RNA is filed under the name uncultured bacterium. RNAcentral describes it as "bacterial SSU rRNA". It matches the Rfam family "Bacterial small subunit ribosomal RNA", at positions 90 to 794 of the family's 1533-position model. The record is from RNAcentral.